This 253-nucleotide ribosomal RNA is filed under the name uncultured bacterium. Its description in RNAcentral is "partial 16S ribosomal RNA". It matches the Rfam family "Bacterial small subunit ribosomal RNA", at positions 524 to 776 of the family's 1533-position model. The record is from RNAcentral.
UACGGGGGGGGCAAGCGUUGUUCGGAAUUACUGGGCGUAAAGGGCUCGUAGGUGGCCAACUAAGUCAGACGUGAAAUCCCUCGGCUUAACCGGGGAACUGCGUCUGAUACUGGAUGGCUUGAGAUUGGGAGAGGGAUGCGGAAUUCCAGGUGUAGCGGUGAUAUGCGUAGAUAUCUGGAGGAACACCGGUGGCGAAGGCGGCAUCCUGGACCAACACUGACACUGAGGAGCGAAAGCCAGGGGAGCAAACGGG